This 1453-nucleotide ribosomal RNA is filed under the name Potamogale velox. RNAcentral describes it as "16S ribosomal RNA". It matches the Rfam family "Bacterial large subunit ribosomal RNA", at positions 216 to 2786 of the family's 2925-position model. Lineage: Eukaryota; Metazoa; Chordata; Mammalia; Afrosoricida; Tenrecidae. The record is from RNAcentral.
AAAGUAUAGGCGAUAGAAAAGAUGAAUUACUGAGCUAUAGAGAUAGUACCGUAAGGGAAAAAUGAAAGACCAACCUCAUAGUACUUCAAAGCAAAGAUUAAAACUUGUACCUUUUGCAUAAUGAAUUAACUAGAAUUAAUUUGACAAAAAGAAUUAUAGCCAAACACCCCGAAACCAGACGAGCUACUCAAGAACAAUCUUUAAGGAUCAACUCAUCUAUGUAGCAAAAUAGUGAGAAGAUUCUUGAGUAGAGGUGAAAAACCUAACGAGCCUGGUGAUAGCUGGUUAUCCAAUUACUGAAUUUUAGUUCAACUUAAAACCUUACUAAAUAUACACAGCACUAUACCGUAGUUUUUAAACUUAGUUAAAAGGGGUACAGCCCUUUUAACAUUGGAUUCAACCUCAAUUAGAGAGUAAGUAGUACCAACAACAUAGUAGGCCUAAAAGCAGCCACCAAUUAAGAAAGCGUUAAAGCUCAAAUUGAACCCAAAACUAAAAAUCCCACAAACAACAAACCAACUCCUAAUUUAAAAAUUGGAUUAAUCUAUAUAUCAUAUAGAAGAGUUAAUGUUAAUAUUAGUAACAAGAACUAUAAUCUCCUUACACUAGUUUAUAACCUAACGAAUACUCGUUGUUAGUUAACAACCAAAUAACUAAAAUCUGUACUUUUAAUAAUUAUAUACAUACAUAUUGUUAGCCCAACACUGGUGUGUUACACAGGAAAGAUUUAAAAAAGUAAAAGGAACUCGGCAAACUCAAAUCCCGCCUGUUUACCAAAAACAUCACCUUUAGCAUUACAAGUAUUAAAGGCACUGCCUGCCCAGUGAAUAUUUAAACGGCCGCGGUACUCUGACCGUGCAAAGGUAGCAUAAUCAUUUGUCCCCUAAAUAGGGACUUGCAUGAAUGGCCCCACGAGGAUUUAACUGUCUCUUACUUUUAAUCAGUGAAAUUGUCCUUCCCGUGAAGAGACGGGGAUAAACCCAUAAGACGAGAAGACCCUAUGGAGCUUUAGUACGAAUUUCAAAGAAUUAAUAAUUAAACAAACAUUUUAUUCUAAUGAAACACCUACUUUGGUUGGGGUGACCUCGGAAAACAAAAAAACUUCCGAAAGAUUCAUACCAAGACCAACAAGUCAAAGUAUCUAAAUCUCUAUUGACCCAAUUACUUGAUCAACGGACCAAGUUACCCUAGGGAUAACAGCGCAAUCUUAUUCAAGAGUUCUUAUCGACAAUAAGGUUUACGACCUCGAUGUUGGAUCAGGACAUCCUAAUGGUGUAGCAGCUAUUGAUGGUUCGUUUGUUCAACGAUUAAAGUCCUACGUGAUCUGAGUUCAGACCGGAGAAAUCCAGGUCGGUUUCUAUCUAUGAAUUUAUUUCUCCCAGUACGAAAGGACAAGAGAAAUAAGGCCAACUAUUAUAUAGCGCCUUAACAAUACAUAUGAAAUAAUCUUAAU